GCGGGAAUAGCUCAGUGGUAGAGCACAACCUUGCCAAGGUUGGGGUCGGGUCGCG
RNAcentral lists this transfer RNA (55 nucleotides) under Methylococcaceae bacterium HT2. RNAcentral describes it as "tRNA-Gly". It matches the Rfam family "tRNA", at positions 1 to 57 of the family's 71-position model. From Rfam's summary of the family: Transfer RNA (tRNA) molecules are approximately 80 nucleotides in length. Their secondary structure includes four short double-helical elements and three loops (D, anti-codon, and T loops). The record is from RNAcentral. Lineage: Bacteria; Pseudomonadati; Pseudomonadota; Gammaproteobacteria; Methylococcales; Methylococcaceae.